AACGAACGCUGGCGGCAUGCCUAACACAUGCAAGUCGAACGAUGCCUUCGGGCAUAGUGGCGCACGGGUGCUUAACGCGUGGGAAUCUGCCUUUCGGUUCGGAAUAACUCAGGGAAACUUGAGCUAAUACCGGAUAACGUCGCAAGACCAAAGAUUUAUCACCGAAAGAUGAGCCCGCGUAGGAUUAGCUAGUUGGUGAGGUAAAGGCUCACCAAGGCGACGAUCCUUAGCUGGUCUGAGAGGAUGAUCAGCCACACUGGGACUGAGACACGGCCCAGACUCCUACGGGAGGCAGCAGUGGGGAAUAUUGGACAAUGGGCGAAAGCCUGAUCCAGCAAUGCCGCGUGAGUGAUGAAGGCCUUAGGGUUGUAAAGCUCUUUUACCCGGGAAGAUAAUGACGGUACCGGGAGAAUAAGCCCCGGCUAACUCCGUG
RNAcentral lists this ribosomal RNA (433 nucleotides) under uncultured bacterium. RNAcentral's name for it is "partial 16S ribosomal RNA". It matches the Rfam family "Bacterial small subunit ribosomal RNA", at positions 29 to 507 of the family's 1533-position model. The record is from RNAcentral.